Armigeres subalbatus is the source of this 482-nucleotide long non-coding RNA. RefSeq lists it as uncharacterized. Lineage: Eukaryota; Metazoa; Arthropoda; Insecta; Diptera; Culicidae. The record is from RefSeq and is a predicted model, not a curated record. The transcript is spliced from 3 exons.
UGGAAAGUAAUUGCACUUAUGCCGAAAUGCCGAAUGCAUUUCCUCCAGUGUAUCCAUCCGCUGUCAGAAUAGUGGAAUUUUUGAUGGUUUUCCCGGCCGCUCUUCAAUUUUUUUCCGCAAAGUCACACACGCAUUGUUGGAUUGUGAGAAAAAUCCCGAACCACAGAAGGACCGAGAGAAGGACUAUCUAAAUUCAAACUGAAGCAGCAUUACCACUGGCAAAGUAGCCGUCCGUAAACUCGGUUUACUUGAAGAGGUAUACAAUCGCCAUCAUCGCUUAUCGGAGAAAUGGACACUCUUUGCGAAAAUUGGUUAUCGGAGUUGUGGGAGCCGAGGUGGAUGCCGUAUCUUAUGAUUAGGCUAAAGCCUGCAAACAAGAGAAUCUUACUGAUGGAGAUGCAGAUAAAGCUUAGGAGAUAUUUCUCAGCGGCGAAUAUAUACCUACAAACUAUCAAACUGAUGGAAGUGAUAAAAUAAAAAGA